This 388-nucleotide ribosomal RNA is filed under the name uncultured bacterium. Its description in RNAcentral is "bacterial SSU rRNA". It matches the Rfam family "Bacterial small subunit ribosomal RNA", at positions 28 to 417 of the family's 1533-position model. The record is from RNAcentral.
GACGAACGCUGGCGGCGUGCUUAACACAUGCAAGUCGAGCGGUAAGGCCCUUUCGGGGGUACACGAGCGGCGAACGGGUGAGUAACACGUGGGUGACCUGCCCUCAGCUCUGGGAUAAGCCUGGGAAACCGGGUCUAAUACCGGAUAUGACUCCAUGACGCAUGUUGUGGGGUGGAAAGCCUUGUGCGGCUGAGGAUGGGCCCGCGGCCUAUCAGCUUGUUGGUGGGGUGAUGGCCUACCAAGGCGACGACGGGUAGCCGGCCUGAGAGGGCGACCGGCCACACUGGGACUGAGACACGGCCCAGACUCCUACGGGAGGCAGCAGUGGGGAAUUUUGGACAAUGGGGGCAACCCUGAUCCAGCCAUGCCGCGUGCGGGAAGAAGGCCU